Long non-coding RNA from Triticum dicoccoides, 972 nucleotides. RefSeq lists it as uncharacterized. NCBI's taxonomy places the organism in Eukaryota, Viridiplantae, Streptophyta, Magnoliopsida, Poales, Poaceae. The record is from RefSeq and is a predicted model, not a curated record. The transcript is spliced from 3 exons.
GAGGAUCUACCAGAGGCAAUGCGGAUACGGAGGAAAGGGAUCGACCGGAGAUGCGGGCGCAGGAUCCGGGUCCAGCCUAGGUGCAGCGGCACUCGAUUCAGAGGAUGGGACGCGGGAUACAGAGGAGCGGGCGGUUUGUGUCGAUCGAGUGGAGGCGCGGGAUCCAGCUGAGGCGAUCGAGCGGAGGCGCGGGAGGAUGCUGCCCUUCCCCUCGCGCCUCACUGCCGGCGUCGCCGCCGCCGGCCACAUCUAGCCGCCUCAGAACUCCUCGCCCUCACGUCUUGCUUCAUAUCCUCCCAUCCCCAUCCCUUCUGCAGCCAUGUUCAUUCCUAAGGUUGGCAUCUUUUCCACUCCCCCUCCUAAUCGAUUUGGUUCCUGAAACCAAUGUUUGCUUGCUACUAUAGCUGAGGGAUUGGCUUGUUUGCUUCGGCUGCUCGUUGAUUAGGAUGUGCUCUACGGCGUGUGCGCCAACGCACGGUAAGGUCAAGCAGCUGGUAGAGUAUAUUGGGUAGUUGACAAAGACUGCAGCUGCAAGGGAACAUAUAGGAAGCACGUGCAACUCCAGUUCGGUGUGGACCUAUCGGUCAUCCUCCAUCGGUUCCAGCCUGAGGCAGAAGCAGUGUUUGCUUGCUUUGCUUCACAACGAUGCUUGGUCCAUGUCUCUCCCAUGACAACCGCCUAGGGAAAACGAUAAACAUCUGGACCAUGUUGGCACUAGAUGGUGUAGUGUUAACGUAGCAUAACUUGUACUUCCUCCGUCCGGAAAUACUUAUCAUUGAAAUACGAUGUAUCUAGAUGUAUUUUAGUUCUAGAUACAUCCAUUUUCAUUCAUUUUGAUGACAAGUAUUUCCGAACGGAGGGAGUAUGUAUUUCCUGAUGCCUCUCAGCCCUAUACGUACAACAAGUGAACAGUAAGAUAGUAGAGGCUUUCAGUUCAGAUUUGCUCUGCAAUGCCAAAAACAAAAUAAAAAG